Daphnia magna is the source of this 619-nucleotide long non-coding RNA. RefSeq lists it as uncharacterized. The transcript has 3 exons. The record is from RefSeq and is a predicted model, not a curated record. Lineage: Eukaryota; Metazoa; Arthropoda; Branchiopoda; Diplostraca; Daphniidae.
UCAGCAUCACAAGUCUAACUGGUGUAUCGUUUCAUUAAAUUUGCGUUCCCAUUCGAUUGUACUUUUUUCAACUGCCCACAUUUCAUUGACAUAUCAGACAAAAUCUCUUUUUUCUCCAUCCGGAACGUGUGAAUUUCAAAUGAAACCACAUCUAUUCGAGACGUAUCGAUUUGGUGGACGGAGAUGUGAAAGAUGGGCGUUUCCGGCUUUACAAUGGAAAUUUUCUCUGAACGUUUGCAUACAGAGCUCCACAGAUGGGCGGGGAUGAUACGAACGGGCGGCGGCGACCGUUGGCGGCGACUCCUUGACAAAUACUCCGAUCGCCGCCCAUUCUGUACAAGACAUCAAACGCUGCUGUAGUUUUUUUUUUCAAUGCUUAAUUUACGGGAAAAGAAAAACCAACAGUCGAGGCUAUUCCUUUGAAAUUGUAGAAACACGGAAGAAAAAAAGGAGAAAAACAAAUAUUCCAAGGCAAUUCGUGACGAGUCAUUAUUAUUAUUUUCCACAUCCUAGUCAAUCUCUUCAUUUCAGAAUUGAUGAACGCUUACUUUUUGUUUUUUUCGGUGCUUGUGGUCAAAGGAUUCAUGUUUUUCUUUUUCGGAGAAAAAUCGGGUUGGAA